RNAcentral lists this ribosomal RNA (425 nucleotides) under uncultured bacterium. Its description in RNAcentral is "partial 16S ribosomal RNA". It matches the Rfam family "Bacterial small subunit ribosomal RNA", at positions 354 to 796 of the family's 1533-position model. The record is from RNAcentral.
GUGAGGAAUUUUGCGCAAUGGGGACAACCCUGACGCAGCGACGCCGCGUGGAGGACGAAGUCUUUCGGGAUGUAAACUCCUGUCAGUGGGGACGAUAAUGACGGUACCCACAGAGGAAGCACCGGCUAACUCCGUGCCAGCAGCCGCGGUAAGACGGAGGGUGCAAGCGUUGUUCGGAAUUACUGGGCGUAAAGCGUAUGUAGGCGGCAAGUUAAGUUCAAUGUUAAAGCCCACGGCUCAACCGAGGAGAUGCAUUGAAUACUGGCUAGCUAGAGGGUGUUAGAGGAAGACGGAAUUCCCAGUGUAGCGGUGAAAUGCGUAGAUAUUGGGAGGAACAUCGGUAGCGAAAGCGGUCUUCUGGGACAUACCUGACGCUGAGGUACGAAAGCGUGGGGAGCAAACGGGAUUAGAAACCCUAGUAGUCC